Molecule: ribosomal RNA, 253 nt
Filed under: uncultured bacterium
Lineage: Bacteria
Description: partial 16S ribosomal RNA
Rfam family: Bacterial small subunit ribosomal RNA
Source: RNAcentral
UACGUAGGUGGCAAGCGUUGUCCGGAAUCACUGGGCGUAAAGCGCGCGCAGGCGGCGAUCUACGUCUGGGGUGAAAGCCCGGAGCUCAACUCCGGGACUGCCUUGGAUACGGGAUCGCUUGAGGAUUGGAGAGGCAAGGGGAAUUCCACGUGUAGCGGUGAAAUGCGUAGAUAUGUGGAGGAACACCCGUGGUGCAGACGGCUUGCUGGACCAUGACUGACGCUGAGGCACGAAAGUGUGGGUAGCAAACAGG